UAAAAACAUCCCGCGGACAACCUUUUCCCACACGUUAUAGUUCUAAGCAUACAUACAAAAUUAUGCACCAAAAUCAAGCGCAUAGAACCAUGUUCUUACAAGCAUAGAAAGUUACAGUCUAACCAUACAUAAAAACUUAUGAAUAGAAAUAUAGAUCGACGUGCUCAUCUAUCAGACCAAGAUCGACGAUACACUGUACUAUAGAGAGAAAAGAGCUAGUGAGGUCAGCAGCAUUUUGAGGAGGGAGCCACUUCACACAUGAGAUCUUACAGAUCUGCAUUUUGAGGUUAAGAGGAAAGGGACUCACCCUGCCAAUCUACAGCAAGCUGCUGCAGCAGGCCGUGCCCGCCGUGCGUUGGGGCCGCGCUGGGCUGCCGCAAUCCGCCCUGUUGCCUGCGGACCUUGCUGUUCCAUACUCUAUCCACG
This 426-nucleotide long non-coding RNA is filed under the name Sorghum bicolor (sorghum). Its description in RNAcentral is "long non-coding RNA (SBIC_LNC004402)". The record is from RNAcentral. Lineage: Eukaryota; Viridiplantae; Streptophyta; Magnoliopsida; Poales; Poaceae.